RNAcentral lists this ribosomal RNA (1131 nucleotides) under uncultured organism. RNAcentral describes it as "bacterial SSU rRNA". It matches the Rfam family "Bacterial small subunit ribosomal RNA", at positions 67 to 1228 of the family's 1533-position model. The record is from RNAcentral.
CGAGAACCCUUGGAUUCGUCUGGGGGGGAGAGUGGCGAACUGGUGAGUAACACGUGGGUGACCUGCCCCGAAGACGGGGAUAACCGUUGGAAACGACGGCUAAUACCCGAUAUACUCGGUGAUUCGGUUCAUCGAGUAAAGGCUCCGGUGCUUCGGGAUGGGCCUGCGGCCUAUCAGCUAGUUGGUGGGGUAAUGGCCCACCAAGGCGAAGACGGGUAGGGGGCGUGAGAGCGCGGNCCCCCACACUGGCACUGAGAUACGGGCCAGACUUCUACGGAAGGCAGCAGUCGGGGAUAUUGCACAAUCGGCGAAAGCCGGAUGCAGCGACGCCGCGUGGGCGGUGAAGGCCUUCGGGUUGUAAAGCCCUUUUAUGGGGGAAGAGACAAGGACGGUACCCCAAGAAUAAGCGUCGGCUAACUACGUGCCAGCAGCCGCGGUAAAACGUAGGACGCAAGCGUUAUCCGGAUUUACUGGGCGUAAAGAGCGUUGAGGCGGUUCCGUAAGUUGGGCGUGAAAGCCCCGGGCUUAACCCGGGGAGGUCGUUCAAUACUGCGGGACUUGAGGGCAGCAGAGGGAGGCGGAAUUCCCGGUGUAGCGGUGAAAUGCGUAGAUAUCGGGAGGAACACCAGUGGCGAAGGCGGCCUCCUGGGCUGUUUCUGACGCUGAAGGCGAAAGCUAGGGGAGCGAACGGGAUUAGAAACCCCGGUAGUCCUAGCCGUAAACGAUGGAUGCUGGGUGUGGGGGGUAUAGAUCCCCUCCGUGCCGAAGCUAACGCGUUAAGCAUCCCGCCUGGGGAUUACGGCCGCAAGGCUUAAACUCAAACGAAUUGACGGGGGCCCGCACAAGCAGCGGAGCGUGUGGUUUAAUUCGAUGCUACACGAAGAACCUUACCUGGGCUUGACAUGUAGGUAGUAGUGAAGCGAAAGCGGAACGACCCUUCGGGGAGCCUACACAGGUGCUGCAUGGCUGUCGUCAGUUCGUGCCGUGAGGUGUCGGGUUAAGUUCCGUUACGAACGCAACCCUUGCCCUUAGUUACAUGUGUCUAAGGGGACUGCCCGGGACAACUGGGAGGAAGAUGGGGAUGACGUCAAGUCAGCAUGGCCUUUAUGUCCAGGGCUACACACACGCUAC